CCAGACUCCUACGGGAGGCAGCAGUGGGGAAUAUUGCGCAAUGGACGAAAGUCUGACGCAGCGACGCCGCGUGAGGGAUGAAGGUUUUCGGAUCGUAAACCUCUGUCAGGAGGGAAGAAAGCGUAUGGCGCCAAUCAGCCAUGCGUUGACGGUACCUCCAAAGGAAGCGCCGGCUAACUCCGUGCCAGCAGCCGCGGUAAUACGGAGGGCGCGAGCGUUAUCCGGAUUUAUUGGGUUUAAAGGGUGCGCAGGCGGAUUUUUAAGUCAGCGGUAAAAUCGUGGGGCUCAACCCCAUCCAGCCGUUGAAACUGGGGAUCUAGAGUGUGCGAGAGGUAUGCGGAAUGCGUGGUGUAGCGGUGAAAUGCAUAGAUAUCACGCAGAACCCCGAUUGCGAAGGCAGCAUACCGGUGCACAACUGACGCUCAGGCACGAAAGCGUGGGUAUCGAACAGGAUUAGAUACCCCUGUA
RNAcentral lists this ribosomal RNA (468 nucleotides) under uncultured bacterium. Its description in RNAcentral is "bacterial SSU rRNA". It matches the Rfam family "Bacterial small subunit ribosomal RNA", at positions 331 to 792 of the family's 1533-position model. The record is from RNAcentral.